GAUGAACGCUGGCGGCGUGCCUAAUACAUGCAAGUCGAGCGAACAGAUGAGGAGCUUGCUCCUCUGACGUUAGCGGCGGACGGGUGAGUAACACGUGGAUAACCUACCUAUAAGACUGGGAUAACUUCGGGAAACCGGAGCUAAUACCGGAUAAUAUAUUGAACCGCAUGGUUCAAUAGUGAAAGACGGUUUUGCUGUCACUUAUAGAUCGAUCCGCGCCGCAUUAGCUAGUUGGUAAGGUAACGGCUUACCAAGGCAACGAUGCGUAGCCGACCUGAGAGGGUGAUCGGCCACACUGGAACUGAGACACGGUCCAGACUCCUACGGGAGGCAGCAGUAGGGAAUCUUCCGCAAUGGGCGAAAGCCUGACGGAGCAACGCCGCGUGAGUGAUGAAGGUCUUCGGAUCGUAAAACUCUGUUAUUAGGGAAGAACAAAUGUGUAAGUAACUAUGCACGUCUUGACGGUACCUAAUCAGAAAGCCACGGCUAACUACGUG
Molecule: ribosomal RNA, 497 nt
Filed under: uncultured bacterium
Lineage: Bacteria
Description: partial 16S ribosomal RNA
Rfam family: Bacterial small subunit ribosomal RNA
Source: RNAcentral